UACGGAGGGUGCAAACGUUGCUCGGAAUCAUUGGGCGUAAAGCGCACGUAGGCGGUUUGUUAAGUCGGGUGUGAAAGCCCUCGGCUCAACCGAGGAAGUGCACUCGAAACUGGCAAGCUUGAGUAUGGAAGAGGGUCGCGGAAUUCCCGGUGUAGAGGUGAAAUUCGUAGAUAUCGGGAGGAACACCAGUGGCGAAGGCGGCGACCUGGGCCAAUACUGACGCUGAGGUGCGAAAGCGUGGGGAG
This 245-nucleotide ribosomal RNA is filed under the name uncultured bacterium. RNAcentral describes it as "partial 16S ribosomal RNA". It matches the Rfam family "Bacterial small subunit ribosomal RNA", at positions 524 to 768 of the family's 1533-position model. The record is from RNAcentral.